CCUACGGGGGGCAGCAGUGGGGAAUAUUGCGCAAUGUGCGAAAGCCUGACGCAGCGACGCCGCGUGAGGGAUGAAGGUCUUCGGAUCGUAAACCUCUGUCAGCAGGGAAGAACGGUCCCUGUGCUAAUCAGCAGUGAAUUGACGGUACCUGCAAAGGAAGCACCGGCUAACUCCGUGCCAGCAGCCGCGGUAAUACGGAGGGUGCGAGCGUUAAUCGGAAUUACUGGGCGUAAAGCGCUCGUAGGCGGUAUGUCAAGUCAGGGGUGAAAUCGCCGGGCUCAACGUGGGAACGGCCUUGGAAACUGGCAAACUGGAGUGUGUGAGAGGAUAGUGGAAUUCCAGGUGUAGCAGUGAAAUCCGUAGAUAUUUGGAGGAACAUCAGUGGCGAAGGCGACUAUCUGGAACAUAACUGACGCUGAGGAGCGAAAGCGUGGGUAGCAAACAGGAUUAGAUACCCUUGUAGUC
RNAcentral lists this ribosomal RNA (465 nucleotides) under uncultured bacterium. Its description in RNAcentral is "partial 16S ribosomal RNA". It matches the Rfam family "Bacterial small subunit ribosomal RNA", at positions 338 to 795 of the family's 1533-position model. The record is from RNAcentral.